RNAcentral lists this ribosomal RNA (471 nucleotides) under uncultured bacterium. RNAcentral's name for it is "bacterial SSU rRNA". It matches the Rfam family "Bacterial small subunit ribosomal RNA", at positions 627 to 1102 of the family's 1533-position model. The record is from RNAcentral.
UUGAUACUGUCAGACUAGAGUUUAUUUGACGUAGGCGGAAUGUAGCAUGUAGCGGUGAAAUGCUUAGAGAUGCUACAGAACACCGAUGGCGAAGGCAGCUUACGAAGAUAUAACUGACGCUCAUGCACGAAAGCGUGGGGAUCAAACAGGAUUAGAUACCCUGGUAGUCCACGCUGUAAACGAUGAUAACUGGCUUUUGGCGAUACACAGUCAGAGGCUGAGAGAAAUCAAUAAGUUAUCCACCUGGGGAGUACGACGGCAACGUUGAAACUCAAAGGAAUUGACGGGGGCCCGCACAAGCGGAGGAGCAUGUGGUUUAAUUCGAUGAUACGCGAGGAACCUUACCCGGGCUUAAAUUGCAGAUGCUGUAUGUUGAAAGGCAUAUUUCUACGGACAUCUGUGAAGGUGCUGCAUGGUUGUCGUCAGCUCGUGUCGUGAGGUGUCGGGUUAAGUUCCAAUAACGAGCGCAAC